GUUAUAUCAGUCCAGAAUUGGGUUGCUAUUGCCAUCUGGAAGCUGGCUACCUCAGAUUGCUACAGGGGGACACAUAUGACCUGAGUCAACAUUAUCAGAGCUCUCCAGCUAUGCUCAUGAAAUCCUUUCAGGACAUGCUAUGGAUGUGAGGACAGCAUCUAGGGAAGUUCAAUGAAAAGGAAGAGAAAAAAAACAGAGACCAAUCAGGUGUCAAUCAGAUUCUCGGCAAGCAACUUAAAAGCUGGCUUAAGUGGACAUUUGAGGACACAUUCUUCCUCCCAGCCUCUAACAAAGAUGUAAUGGUUGAGAAAAAAACAGAUAUGGCUGUAGUGUUCCCACCUGCAGGGACAGCCUUUUCUAUAUCAUCCCUGAGACUGAUCUCAAUCAUUUUUUGUGACCUACCCAGCAACUGGAGGCCUGAUCAUCUGGGAGACUUUUGGUUGUUCCCCCCAGAUGAACUGAGCAACAAACAGCCAACCCUAACUGGCCAUGUGAUUCAGUCCAGUUGGC
Molecule: long non-coding RNA, 510 nt
Organism: Mauremys mutica (yellowpond turtle)
Lineage: Eukaryota; Metazoa; Chordata; Testudines; Geoemydidae
Exons: 3
Source: RefSeq, a predicted model, not a curated record